RNAcentral lists this ribosomal RNA (497 nucleotides) under uncultured bacterium. RNAcentral's name for it is "partial 16S ribosomal RNA". It matches the Rfam family "Bacterial small subunit ribosomal RNA", at positions 28 to 507 of the family's 1533-position model. The record is from RNAcentral.
GAUGAACGCUGGCGGCGUGCCUAAUACAUGCAAGUCGAGCGAACGGACGAGAAGCUUGCUUUUCUGAUGUUAGCGGCGGACGGGUGAGUAAUACGUGGCUAACCUACCUAUAGGACUGGGAUAACUUCAGGAAACCGAAGCUAAUACCGGAUAAUAUUUUGAACCGCAUGGUUCAUCAGUGAAAGACGGUCUUGCUGUCCCUUAUAGAUGGUACCGCGCUGCAUUAGCUAGUUGGUAAGGUAACGGCUUACCAAGGCAACGAUGCAUAGCCGACCUGAGAGGGUGAUCAGCCACACUGGAACUGAGACACGGUCCAGACUCCUACGGGAGGCAGCAGUGGGGAAUCUUCCACAAUGGGCGAAAGCCUGACGGAGCAACGCCGCGUGAGUGAUGAAGGUCUUCGGAUCGUAAAACUCUGUUAGUAGGGAAGAACAUAUGUGUAAGUAACUGUGCACAUCUUGACGGUACCUAAACAGAAAGCCACGGCUAACUACGUG